CCUACGGGUGGCAGCAGUGAGGAAUAUUGGUCAAUGGGCGUAAGCCUGAACCAGCCAAGUCGCGUGAGGGAUGAAGGUUCUAUGGAUUGUAAACCUCUUUUAUAAGGGAAUAAAGUCUGGGCCUUGUCCUAUUUUGUAUGUACCUUAUGAAUAAGGAUCGGCUAACUCCGUGCAAUCAGCCGCGGUAAUACGGAGGAUCCGACCGUUAUCCGGAUUUAUUGGGUUUAAAGGGUGCGUAGGCGGCCUUUUAAGUCAGCGGUGAAAGUCGGGGGCUCAACCAUUGAAUUGCCGUUGAAACUGGGGAGCUUGAGUAUGUUUGAGGCAGGCGGAAUGCGUGGUGUAGCGGUGAAAUGCUUAGAUAUCACGCAGAACCCCGAUUGCGAAGGCAGCCUGCCAAGCCAUGACUGACGCUGAUGCACGAAAGCGUGGGGAUCGAACAGGAUUAGAUACCCGAGUAGUC
Molecule: ribosomal RNA, 460 nt
Filed under: uncultured bacterium
Lineage: Bacteria
Description: partial 16S ribosomal RNA
Rfam family: Bacterial small subunit ribosomal RNA
Source: RNAcentral